RNAcentral lists this ribosomal RNA (443 nucleotides) under uncultured bacterium. RNAcentral describes it as "bacterial SSU rRNA". It matches the Rfam family "Bacterial small subunit ribosomal RNA", at positions 28 to 507 of the family's 1533-position model. The record is from RNAcentral.
GAUGAACGCUGGCGGCGUGCCUAAUACAUGCAAGUCGAGCGGUAACAUGGACUUCGGUCUGAUGACGAGCGGCGGACGGCUGAGUAACGCGUAGGAACGUACCCCAAACUGAGGGAUAACUGCUCGAAAGAGUAGCUAAUACCGCAUGUGCUCUAAGGAGUAAAGCUUCGGCGGUUUGGGAACGGCCUGCGUACGAUUAGAUUGUUGGUGAGGUAAUGGCUCACCAAGUCGAUGAUCGUUAGCUGGUCUGAGAGGAUGAUCAGCCAGACUGGGACUGAGAACGGCCCAGACUCCUACGGGAGGCAGCAGUAGGGAAUUUCCACAAUGGACGAAAGUCUGAUGGAGCAACGCCGCGUGCAGGAUGAAUGCCUUCGGGUUGUAAACUGCUUUUAUAUGUGACGAAUAUGACGGUAGCAUAUGAAUAAGGAUCGGCUAACUCCGUG